This 421-nucleotide ribosomal RNA is filed under the name uncultured bacterium. RNAcentral describes it as "bacterial SSU rRNA". It matches the Rfam family "Bacterial small subunit ribosomal RNA", at positions 30 to 451 of the family's 1533-position model. The record is from RNAcentral.
AUUGAACGCUGGCGGCAUGCCUUACACAUGCAAGUCGAACGGCAGCACGGGAGCAAUCCUGGUGGCGAGUGGCGAACGGGUGAGUAAUAUAUCGGAACGUGCCCAGUAGUGGGGGAUAGCCCGGCGAAAGCCGGAUUAAUACCGCAUACGACCUGAGGGUGAAAGCGGGGGAUCGCAAGACCUCGCGCUAUUGGAGCGGCCGAUAUCAGAUUAGCUAGUUGGUGGGGUAAAGGCCUACCAAGGCUACGAUCUGUAGUUGGUCUGAGAGGACGACCAGCCACACUGGGACUGAGACACGGCCCAGACUCCUACGGGAGGCAGCAGUGGGGAAUUUUGGACAAUGGGCGCAAGCCUGAUCCAGCAAUGCCGCGUGCAGGAAGAAGGCCUCGGUUGUAACGUAGCUUUGUUCUAGGGAAGGAAA